CAUAAAUUUUUGCUUAGUUGCUAUUUUAUAAUUUUACAUUGGAAUGUAGUAUUUUUUGUAUUUAUAAUAAUCCUGUAGAUCGUAUAGAGAAUAACUUAACUAGUUCUUAAAUAUUGUUUAUUUAUAACAUUAACAUUUUAUGAAGGUACAUAAGUUUGAAAGUUUGAUAGAUGAAUUUUAUUAUUUUAUUAUAAUUAUUAUUAUUUUUGUUUAACUUGUUUUUCCAGCUUAAAUAUUUUGGAUUUGUAUGUACUUUAAUUUUUAUAAAAAACGAAUUCACUAAAUAAAUGGGUGAUUUAUUCUUAGAUUGUUUUUGUGGAAGACUCUGCCUAUUGUAAGUGGAACUUAAGGUUAGUGUCUUGCAUGUAAUCCAAUAAUACUAGUGGCUUAUCUUGUUUAUUUCAAUAACCCACAUGGUUGGCUUUCUUUCAAAGCCUUGUAAGGCCUAUGUUAUGAAAAAUAACAAUAUUUAUAAAAAAAAAAAAACACUGAAAUAAAAUAUCGAUAAUUAGUAACUCCAACAUGUAUCUUAUUGUGUCUAUCAACCAGAUUUAAAACCUCCUAGUCCUAAGCCUAUUGGUGUUUAAAUAUCCACUUAAAAACUCGUAUACAAUCUGUCUUACGAGGUUUUGAAAUUCGCUUAGAGUUCGCUUUAUAUACAAUACCUCGUAUUUCUGUUUUUGAAAUUUGUUGCUCGAGAAGGUAGACGAAUAAAUCAAUUCAAAUUGGAAACAGUUAAUGGGAUUUGAAACUGAAAGACAAGAUUGCAUUCGGUUGGCUGUUUCAAUUUUGUUUUUCAGUAAACGAGAUCGAACUGCAAGAUUAACUAAACCUGACUCUUAUUAAUAAUGUAGAGCAGAACUAUUCUCCAAAAGAAGCAGAUGAAGUUAUCAUCUCAGGACCAUUAGUUGAAUCAGAACUUACAUUAAAUAGGGACGCAGAGGACUUCUUGACGAUAAUGGU
Eupeodes corollae is the source of this 963-nucleotide long non-coding RNA. RefSeq lists it as uncharacterized. The record is from RefSeq and is a predicted model, not a curated record. Lineage: Eukaryota; Metazoa; Arthropoda; Insecta; Diptera; Syrphidae. The transcript is spliced from 2 exons.